Small nucleolar RNA from Zingiber officinale, 107 nucleotides. NCBI's taxonomy places the organism in Eukaryota, Viridiplantae, Streptophyta, Magnoliopsida, Zingiberales, Zingiberaceae. The record is from RefSeq and is a predicted model, not a curated record.
AAACCAUGGUGAGGACACUGUCUUAAUAAACCAUUAAAUCUAUCUCAUGCUUCAAAUAGUGAUUCUCCAUCUACCUGAUCAAAUUUGUAAUGUUAUUCCUCAUGUAC